GCAUGCUAACAAAACUCAAGAAAAUGCCACAACAGCCAGUUUUGAAGUAGCUUAACUCAUUCCCUACACGGGAAACCUUUCUCAGACGGCGACUUCAUCACACAGUGCCUCACUAAAGUCGUGGGGACAAUAUGCCUGGAGAAAAUGCAGGAUUUCAACAAUGUUAGCAUAUCCAGAAAUACGGAUGUGCAGCAAACUGAAGACUUGUUGGCUAACUUAAAACAGAUUCAGUCAGCGCUUUCAAGAUUUUUCUGUAAUUUAGAAAGAAAUCACACUGUUUGCGGCUCCACUGUCAAUGAAUGCAGAAAAAGUGGAAGAGAGUCUGCAAUUAGAACUGAUCAAAAUGCAGUGUGAUGAUACUCUGAAGAGUCAACAUCAGCAUCUCUCCCUACCUGACUUCUACAGGAGCUUGGAAAAGGCCAAGCUCCCUCUGAUGAGACGCCAUGCCAAACGAAUGAAAUACGUCUGUGACCAACGCUGAACAAUAGAAGAUUGAGAACCAGAAUGACCGACAGCCAUCUCCAUGACGACCUUCGCAUCUCAACCACCAGACUUACUCCUGACCUGCCAGCCAUCCUUCGGACUAAAGCGCAGCAUCACUGCUCCCACUAAGCGAAACAUUCUUCCCAUUACAGGACAAUAAAGGGGAAUCAGCAUCCUAUGAACGAAGCUGACGCUGUCACUAACAGAAUGACCUGCAAACCUUUUUGUAAAAUGAAAAUCUUUUUCUCUAUACCGCUUAUCCGUCAGGGUCGCGGGAGAGCUGGAGUCGAUCCCAGUUGACUACGGGCGAGAGGCGGGGUUCACCCUGGACUGGUCGCCAGUCAA
This is a long non-coding RNA of Scatophagus argus, 828 nucleotides long. RefSeq lists it as uncharacterized. Lineage: Eukaryota; Metazoa; Chordata; Actinopteri; Scatophagidae. The record is from RefSeq and is a predicted model, not a curated record. The transcript has 3 exons.